This is a non-coding RNA of Dermacentor albipictus, 482 nucleotides long. Lineage: Eukaryota; Metazoa; Arthropoda; Arachnida; Ixodida; Ixodidae. The record is from RefSeq and is a predicted model, not a curated record.
GAAAAUUGAAACUACAAGAGGCAUGUAUGUUUUAAUGCCGCUGAUAUUUCUACUAUUUUGUGUAUUAUUUGCAUCAGCCGCUCCAACCGGCUGUGUACCAUAUGCAUGUGCUUCUCAGGGGUAUGGAUGCGUACCAUGGAACCUCUGCCAUAAAAAGCUAUCGCUUUGCCGGAAUAGCUGUAGGAGGUGCUCUGUUUGCUGCAAACUCAAAAAAAUGAAGUCCUGCUCCUCGGCUGGAGGAACUUGUAAAAGAAGAUGCGAAGUUGAAAACAACACGAUCAAAUGCCCUGGACGACUGAAGUGCUGUGUUGACUUGGAGCGCUAAGCCAAUGCUGAGCAGCCAUUGCCGCAACUUGCCAACACGCUAGUCAUAAUGCCGGCUUGACAAACGAAUGACGAUCUCAAGAGUCACCAUCCAUAUCCUUCUACCCAUUUUGUGCUUCGAAUAAAAAGUGACACGUAUAGAUAAAGAGCAGUAAAGU